RNAcentral lists this transfer RNA (76 nucleotides) under Pleodorina starrii. RNAcentral describes it as "tRNA-Val". Lineage: Eukaryota; Viridiplantae; Chlorophyta; Chlorophyceae; Chlamydomonadales; Volvocaceae. The record is from RNAcentral.
GACUCUCAUGGUGUAGUGGAAUCACAUCUGUCUAACACACAGAAGGUCCUCUCAGAAUCGAAACUGGGUGAAGUCA